UCUUCUUCUUCUUCAAUGAAACAGGAUAAAGCACCUUUUGUAGCAAAAUCAAUCAGCAAAAAGAAUGAGUAUGCCAUCACUUUGCAACAGUAUAACAUGGAUCUGGCUAAUGGAACCAAGACAUCUGGAGAUGAAUCUGACAAGCCCAAGCCUGCUGUAGUCAACGAGGUGAAUGAAGGUGGAGCAAGUGAAGAGAAGGCAGGAGGUGCUACUGAUUAGGGAGCUGGAUCAGUGAUUUGUGUCUCUCAAGUACUUCUUUCUGUUGUGUUAUCAUGUAUUAGUAGCUAGUUUACUUUUAAGGGAGAAGAAUAUAGUUUGCGUUGUUCCUAUAUUUUCCCCUUUCUGUUGUUGUUAACUGUGGGAUUAUAUUCACAUGUAACUUCAACCUCUUUUCGUGAUGAUAACUUUGGAUUUAGCUUUGAGCUUUAUUUUCUACAUUUUAUGACAUGUGUUUGCUCGCCUA
Camelina sativa (false flax) is the source of this 463-nucleotide non-coding RNA. The record is from RefSeq and is a predicted model, not a curated record. NCBI's taxonomy places the organism in Eukaryota, Viridiplantae, Streptophyta, Magnoliopsida, Brassicales, Brassicaceae.